UACGUAGGGGGCAAGCGUUGUCCGGAAUUAUUGGGCGUAAAGAGCGUGUAGGCGGCCAGAUAAGUCCGCUGUGAAAUCUCGAGGCUCAACUUCGAGCUGUCGGUGGAAACUAUCUGGCUAGAGUCCGGAAGAGGAGAAUGGAAUUCCUGGUGUGAGCGGUGAAAGUGCGCAGAUAUCAGGAAGAACACCCGUGGCGAAGGCGGAUCUCUGGGCCUGUCCUGACGCUCAGGCGCGAAAGCGUGGGGAGCGAACCGG
RNAcentral lists this ribosomal RNA (255 nucleotides) under uncultured bacterium. RNAcentral describes it as "partial 16S ribosomal RNA". It matches the Rfam family "Bacterial small subunit ribosomal RNA", at positions 524 to 776 of the family's 1533-position model. The record is from RNAcentral.